This is a long non-coding RNA of Brassica napus (rape), 1274 nucleotides long. RefSeq lists it as uncharacterized. The transcript is spliced from 8 exons. The record is from RefSeq and is a predicted model, not a curated record. NCBI's taxonomy places the organism in Eukaryota, Viridiplantae, Streptophyta, Magnoliopsida, Brassicales, Brassicaceae.
GCUUUUAUUACAAUUACAGAUUAAGCCCACAUGGAAUUAGGGUUAGUCUUCCAUCAUCCUCUUGCUCCUGCGACCUACACGAUGAAAUCCCACAGAGAUGAAGAUCGCCGUUUUGAUCUCCGUAACAUCUCAACAAUCCAUAAAUAUGUUCUUUACUUUGAGUUUUUUGUGAUUGAUCCACUCCUCCCACUUCAAACACAGCGUCAAGCUCUCAAAUCGCAAAAACUAACAACUCUUCUCAACUCCUCCGGUGAGGACACUGUAGGGAGGUCGUUGAGGCUCCUUCGAUUUUGGGAGUCUCUGAAUGUCAAAGCAGGGUCGGCUGAUGGGUGUUGAUAUAUUGCUGCUUGAUUCCAAGUUGCUAGCAUUUUAAACAUAUUCCAACGGCUGUUGUUGGAAAAAUUAUGGGGAUUCGAACAGCUUACAGUGAAGAGAGUCAGAGUAUACAGCGCAUGAUGAUCACCCUAAUCAUUGGAGCUCUGAUGUAUGCAAGUAUUUGACGGCUUAGCUAAGCUCCUUGAAGAGAAUUUGCUGAGUAGGAACGAAGAACCCGAGGUUUUGGUUGCAACUAACAUCAACCCUAAAUUAGUAGGCGCGGCUAUUCCUGAAUAAGACAUCCACCACUCAUUUAUAUUUAGAUAAUGAGUGUGUUGCUGGUGCAAGUUAUCUUCAGAGGGUGUGUUGCAGUAAGGAAUGCUCAACCUCUAACCCGAAGAAGUAUGUGUUGUCAAGAAAAUUGAGCCAUUGACUUUGGCCAAAUUGCAGCGUGGGUUCACAUCAUUCACAUGUGUUUCAUGCAAUGAGGAGAACGUUGCUGGAGUUAUAAGAUGAGCGUCUCUGAUGCUACUGAAACUUCGAAUUUUGUUGCUUUGACACUGAAGUCACUAAACUGACCAGUAUACGUGAUGCCGAUGUCCCAACGAGCAGGGAGGUGGUGGACAAAACCCCAGGAUUGGGACCUUCUACUAGGUCUAUAUGGAUGGUUACUCAGGAAAGAAGCCACAGACUGACUAACUUAGAAAGAAGUGGAGCUUUUUGAAAAAAAAAAGAAAAAAAAGAAAAGAAAGAAGAACGAAGAAAGAAGAAAGAAGUGGAGCUUCGAUUACAAAACAUAAUGACCUGUACGUUGCUUUUCUUUGAAAAUAAUAUUUCCAGACACUGAAGUCUGAGUACUUCAAAACUUUGACAUAUUUUGAUUUUAUGCUUUACUUUUUUCGUAAAUGCACCGUCUCGGACGUUUUGCAGUUGAAAAAUAAAAAGAAAAGUUGAUUCUC